This is a long non-coding RNA of Grus americana (Whooping crane), 12935 nucleotides long. RefSeq lists it as uncharacterized. The transcript is spliced from 7 exons. Lineage: Eukaryota; Metazoa; Chordata; Aves; Gruiformes; Gruidae. The record is from RefSeq and is a predicted model, not a curated record.
GCUUCUCGAUGUAGUCCUGGAAACCCUGCACUCCCAUGGAAACGCUUGCCUGAACGGCCAGUGUGCUCUUACAAACCUCACAGCCUGUACAGAGGAGCAGCCCUGAGCUGAUGCCAGCUAAGCGCUGGUCUCCUAAGAGGUGGAAGCGAGCCACAGCAUGGAACUGCGCAGGAGGCCGCACAGAACGCUCUUACUUCUACGAUCGUCGUGGGUUUUGGCUAUUCAGGGCGGCAACCUUGCUUUUGGAGCUCAAGUUAUUUAUAUUCUGGACUGCUGCCCUUUCAGUGAUGUAAAUGGACUUGAAUAAGCAGAUUCAAACCAGCGCACUCAGGGUUCGUAGCGGCUGCCCCGGGUCCACUGGGCUCUCCUGUCCCCGCGGCUGGGCUGGAUUCGGCACCCAGGUUCAGAAGUGGGAUUGUUCUCAGGGAGAAUACUCAAAACCGGCUCUUUUGAUGUCACGUUCACAGAAACAGACACCACGUGAUGCAAGUUCAUAUAGAACGAACGGAAUUAGGACAGACGUUCGAAGACUUCUCGCAACAAAUUGCUCACAAAUGAUUUAUGGCGAGAAUUACUUGCAGAGUGAUUACGGCACAUGUUUUUGGGAAAAAAAUAAAUUCAAGAAAAUCAAUCUGCUUGUGGACAAAUAAUGAAAAGAGGAAGAGGAAAAAUUCUUCUAACAAAUAUGAAACUGCAAAUUAUUCUCUCAGCUUACUUGGCAACAACCAAUUUUUAUGGUAGUAGAAACUUGUGGAGUAGGAGGUAACUGUAUGAAGAAUGAUUGAUUCAGUAUCUUAUAUUGCAAUCCUGGAAGGGGUUCAACAUCUUAUUUAAAAGCCAUUUUCUUCCUUUUACCCAGUAAAGGAAACAAAAUGAUAGUCAAUGUCUGUGAGCUGGUUUGGGCAGAUAGAAUCUAUGUUGUGUCUCUGCAGUCCUGUGGUCACUGACAACAUAGGAAAGAGCAGCUAUUUAUUACGAAAGAUCUUUCUUGCCAGAAAAAAAAAAACCCCAAAACCUGCCUGAGGAAGGAUAUUGCCAUCAUAAUCCUCUUUGCAUCUUCCCAUUAGAGAGUAAAGGAUUUGCCCUUCCAGAAGAGACACGUCAUUGGUCUUAAACUCAGUGUAUCUUUUCAGCCUUGGAGUUGUGGAGUCUUGUGUAAACUGCAUCUCCACCGGCCUGUCUUUCAGUCCACAGUCAUAAAAUGGUCGAUAAUUUACUUUCCUCUUGGAAGAAUACAAAGCACACGUUGGGCACCUCUCUCCUGAGACCACCUUUUGUCUCUUCUCCCCCACGCCCUGGGAGGAAGCCAGCCGCCUUCUGGGCGAGAGCCUCUGGGACGCCGCACCGGGACGCCAGCAGAGUUGUCUCCUGCUCAGAGAAGAAGCUACCAGGACUGAUACACCUCCACGUCCACUGAAGGGAACAAUCUAAAAAAGGGGUAUUUUUGCAAGAAUGUUCUAGGCAACCUUUUCUACAAAGGAAGGACGUGCUGCAGAAGAUGAUGCUCAGGAACUAUUUCGUCAGCCCAUUAGGAACAGGGUAUUUUCCAUUUGGCCAUGCACCGUGCCCAGUGUGUUUAGUCAGAAACAGAGGGUGCAGUCCCCUGACAGAGGUGAAGCUGCCGUGCCGCGCCAACGAGCGGGAGUGCAGACUGCACCCCGUGGUGUGCACUGAGGUAUCCCACAGUUCAGAAAAAUCAUAAUUUUACACACCCGUAAAGCGAUCUGUGCAGACCGUGGGGUACCGCUGUGUGUUUGGGUAACGCAAGAACCCAGGGCUGGAAGGGCGACCGGGGUUACGGAGCUGAGGCCCCACCAUCUGGACGCCACUGGGCAAUAGAUGUCUUGGGCAAAACGGUACGAAGGAUAUCUGCUUACGUGCCGCAGGCGUGACGGCACCGUAGCCUGCAGCAGAAGACCAAGCUCGUGCCUGUGACAUGCACCAAGAAAAGUUUGAAGUCAUCGGUAGCAUCGGUUCCUGAUGCAUACUCGCUUCCUGAUGCAAAUUUGUUUAAAGAAAGUUGCUGGUGGUCUUUAGGAGGUGAACCACGUCCCCUGCUGCACAGGACAAGGAUGCCAGCUCUCAGUAGUCUCUGCUGCCUUGACUGAGGGAGGAGUUCCCAUCCGAACCUGAACUUGUGAGCAGCCUUACUGUGAGAACACCAGCCAGACCCCCGAGAUUUUAAUGCUGCUUAGCAAAUCUCACCUACAUCCUGUUUCUGGCUGUGACAAGUCUUCAGUGGUUGAGAGGAUGGGAGGGAAAAAACAACCACCCAAACCCCCACAAAUUACCUGAUAUACCAACAGGAAUUCUUUUUAUAUCCCCACGGAUAACCAGCAGAAACCCUAGGACUCAUACACAAGAAAUCUAGCUGGGGGAAAGCAGCAAUCCCUUCUCUUUGCAACUACAGGAGCCCACCAAAUCCCUGAGGACUCACCAAAAAAAGCUAUUGUCUGUCUUCAGGAAUUUCUACUUAGUUGCACAGUCCUUCCACGAGCUUCUCAGACCACCUCUGCAAUCACAGGGUGCUCCAGAAUUCCGCUCCUCGUGUUACUGUUAACUGUCUUCUGAUUUCCAGUCUGCAUUUCUUCAUGACUAAUUGAUACCCAUUUGAUCCCAGGCUAACAUUAACCUUUAACUCAGGGAGUUCUUCCUGCUUGGUAUUUACCCCAAGGGUAUUUAUAAAUAGCUGUCUUCUGUCACGCUUAGUUUAGUGGGGCUAAAAAUGAUAAACUGAUGUUUAUCGGUCAUGGAAAUCCUUCCUGCACAAGAAUGAAUGUGUCUCUUCGUCUGGUAGAUUAACCCAAAAUAGGUCCUAAGUUUGCAAAUCCACAGUAUUCUCAGUUUCAUGUAAAAGUUGCUUAUUUUUUGUUUGCAGUUAAAGUUACCAGGUAUUGGGGGACAAGUCCUCGUCAUUUAUUGAGUCAAGAUACCACUCUCUGCUGCCUUUUCCAGUUCCGGUCUUGCUCGGCCGUGCUGCUCUCAUUGCUGACGGCUCUGCUGGCGAUGCCGAGCAAGCCAGAAAGGUCCGUGCAGGGACCGUCAGACACCUCUGCUGAGCAGCACAGGCAAAGCAACCCCAUCACCCGCUGCAAUGCUCUUCCCGGCCAGGCUCUUCUGGCCUGCUGAGCACCGGGACCGUGGUGACCACGUGCACCGGGAAGGGAAGAUGUUGGGUUCAACAGUGCUGGUAUUUGACAAGCCUGGUAACGCUUGGAGUCCAAGUUGUUUUCCUGCACUAAGAUCUCUUGGGCUGGUCAGAGAUCAACUGGCAGCCUCAAAAAUACAUAGAACAGCUUUGAAAUGAUCGGGGAUCUCCAGCACAGGAGCAAAGCGUUGCUGACAGCAGCACAUUUUUGGAAAGCACCUUGUUCGUGAGGUUGGCUCAGCCUUAUCUGAACGUUAGGUGUGCGUUGUGUAAGUGUCCCCUCAGUGGCAAAGAAUUAUUAAUUGUCCUAAUUGUAAUCUCCCUCUGCAAAACCAUCUCUACCUCUUUGCUACAAGAUUAUUACUUUUAUAAAAAAAAGCUUAUCAUGUCAGAAUUCAACUUGCAAAGAGCAGAGCCUUUGGGAGAACUGCCAUCGGUUUUGGUUAAUUUGUGGUGUUUGCUGACUGCUGUUUGCGCCCUGCCUUCCCUGUGCAGGCUGUUACCUUCACUCCCUGCCUCGCCGUCCUCCUCCCGCCUUCUUGCUAUUCCUUCAGGGACACCCAGCCAUCUCACGGAGAUGUCGCUACGGAUCACUUCGUAUUCCUGCAUGUUUCAAGCUCUGCUGAGCAGGACACGGCCUCCUGCGCCGGGUGGUUCCCUCCUCCAGCCCUCCCUCUCCCCCCGGUCCCAAGUCUCAGGCACGUACCGUACUGUACCGUACGAUGACAGACCUGGGACAUCUGGAAAGGCGAGAGCUCCAGCUGAUGUGUUGAGCACCCUAACAGUCCCCAGGCAGGGGCUGGAGAACAUCUCCCACCCAUACGUGCUGGGGUUCUAUCUGGGUCCUCCAUAUUGUUGACACCCCACAAGUAUUCUGGCAAGUUUAACAGUAAAAAUAUUUGCUAAGAAAGCAACCAAAGCAAUUAUUCCUGCAUGUUUGUGGAGCGGCAAAGAGUGACUCCCGCUGCGGACACGAAGGCACGGCCCCGGGAUCUGCAGCAACGGCCCUUCUCUUCGCCCUGUCCCCGCGACGUCCACCUGGGAGGUGCCGGAGCAAAACAGUGCUGGGAACGCGCUCGGCAAAUAACUUUAAAUAAUCCUGGACAGGCUGCCUCUGCACCAAAAUGCAUUUGCUUUGAUGUGCAGAACUUCACCGUCUGUAGGAAAUAUUUCUACGGAACCUGCCCGAUCCGUAACGCCCACGGCAGAGCGAUGCUUUGCUUCCGAGUUCCCCUCCUCCCGUUGUGCGAUGCAGUUCAGUGGGCUGGGCUCUGAGAAGCACCCGGACCUGGUGGUUUGCACCGAUAACAAAUUACGGGGUUAAAAAAGUUCCUGAGAAGCUGAAGGUCACAUUUUUUAAGUUAAUGCCCAUCGAGUUACCUUUCUUCUAAACAUGCAAAGUUGCAAAAUUCAAUGUAAAUAGACUCCUCCAGAAGAAGUAAGUACUCCAACUUAAGGAAAACCAAAUAUUGAACUCUUAAGGAAUAACAACAAAAAUAUUCAAAAACUCUUGACAUAUCUUCAAAGGAAAUUCCCUUUCUGUAUUACAGAAUUGCUUUUUAGAUCACCGUGCUGAAACUAGUAGUAUUGAAAAACGUUUCUAGCUGUCCCCUAAAGAAAGGAAAAGCAAUCCCUUUGCUCCCUCUAAGAUUUAGUAAAUUUAAAAAGCUCAGUGCUGAACUUCGCAAAACUGACUUUGGGUAGCUGAAGUUAGACUGGAUCACGCUGCCUUAAUUAAGUUAAUGUUCAAAGCAAAAGGCAGCAUUGAAAAUUUCACUCCUUAGAGAUAAAAUAUUUCCUGUUUUCAUUGCUACCAAGAACCAGGAGUCAGCUGGGGGCUGGAGGUCACGAACUGCCUUUAGGAGAGCAUCUCCCAGCAAAGAGCGUCUGGACGCACGCGGAAGCAAUCCCACGUACGCAGCUGAUUCACCGUUACACCUGCGGCCCGGCUCCUGCUGCAAGUGAGGAAAUCGAUCUCUCUGCUAAUAAGAAGGGAAAAGGCGGCGUUUCCAGAAUGAGACAGCGCUUUCCGGGUACAAGGGGAGCUGCAGGCUCUGAAACGCGGCUUUGCUAAAUUAAAAAAAAGUGGAAAACAUGGUUAUUUUUCUUACCGCUCACCUAAUUAAGCCUCUUUUGAACUGCCCUUCGUUAAGAGCUGUCAAAUGAAGAACUGUCAGUGCAGCGAUUGAGCUGGCCGGCGGUGGCUCGUGGCUCCCUGCCGGCACAGGCAACCACAGCCUGCUCCGGACCGCGUAGCACCGGGCCAGGCCUGACGACAUGCACGCGGUUACGGGGGUCUGACACCCGCGAAUCCGGUUGUGCUGCUCCAGCUGCUGCCCUUGGCCUUCAGGAAAGCUGCCCCGGCACCACGACGCGGACGGCACCGUGACGUGGACACCCCCAGCCGCGCUGCAGCGCAGGGCACGGCACUUCCCCAGGAAUCCCGCUGCUCCGGCAGCCGACGUCAGUCUGACCGGUGCUCGGCAGCUCCCAGCGUUGGCCAUGGCCGCGUCUCAUCCCUGCCAGCAGCCACACACCUCGCGUCCCGCUGGCAGCAGGACGGGCCCCCGUUGCCCUUGGUGCCCAGGAGCAGCCGUGUUGCUCACGUUAACAACCGCACCGCGCUUCCAGCUGCGGCGUCAGUGACCCGCGGGGCGAGGCCACGUGCGCCUGCCUCAGCCGGGGAGGGCCCGGGGAAGGGGCAGAGAGCAGGGGAUGCCAUCGCACAGCCGGACGCGGUGGUGGUGGCAGAGGGGCUCCUCCGUCACCCCCCGGCGAUGUCCCUGCAGAAGAAACCUCUGCCUCCCAAAGUGAUGUGCACGACGCAGGAGAAAGCUAUUUUCCUUCUCUGGGUCAGCAGACGGCACGGCUCCCUGCGCUAACAGGGAAGGAGCCCUCCGUUGUCACUGCAAAUUAUUUCCCUUUAAGUGCCAAGAUUCCUUAUUUAUUUGGCAGACAACCAAACACCCUCUGCGCAGCGCGCUGCUAAUGCACGCGGCUCCCGGCCUUGGCACCCGCGGGCGGCCGGGCCCCUCUCCCCCUUCACCUCCCUGGGGUGCUGCAGGGACGGCGCACUGGGCGCUGAGCUGGAGCUUUAGUGAAAAAAGUUGAAGAAUAAGAAGUGUCACUGUCGAUCCACCACCCCUCCUAGGCUCAUUCUCCUUAGAGGGACCCUUUUUUUUUUCUUCCAUAUGUGAAGAAUAAUUAAAAAAAAAAAAGUCCUCCCAGAGUAAUAGGUCGCGCAGGUAACAAUGUGAAGUGCUGGAAGCCGUAAGCAGGAGCCACGGCACAGCAAGUCGCCUCUGAAUCCCCCAGUCCUGGGCAUCCCAGCCGGAGUCCCGCUGCUCUCGCACCCCGGAGGAGGGGGAUGAGGGAUGGACCACCCAUAGCAGAGAAACUUCUUUGUGGGGCCAGUUUGUACGAGAACUGUGGAGCUUUCAUUUUGCGUGAAAAAGGGCAGGAGUUAAAGGGUCCCCAGGAGGCCCCUCGGUCCCCUGGUGUCACCGAGGGGCAGCUCCCGAGGAGCCCCGUGCCCACCACCCUCCCACAGCAUCGGAGCCCCUUCAGCUGCCACCCCCAUCCCCGCCACGCCAGCGAGGGCGAGCGGACGGACACCUGACGCAGCGGGGCAGGCAGGGACCCCAGCGCCCUCCCACCGCUCCCCUCCGCGGCGGCACGACAGAGGCCCACCGCCGGCCAACUGCUCCGCGUGGGGUGAGGGGGGGAACUGGAGCUCCCCGUGUACUCUGAGAGGAGCUGAUCAGCACCUGCGCCCUCAGCCCAGCUUAACCGGGAGGCAGGGAGCGUCGCCGCGGCCUCGCUCCCCUCGGCGGCAGGAAGGCGAAGAGCUGACCCCACUCGGUACCGCGCUCCCCGGGUCUGGAUGCCAGAGCAAGUGCGUCUUCCUGGGGAGAUACCAAGGGAACGCUAAGGCGCAGCUAAUUUUAGGAGGAAAUAGGUUUUUAAUUUGCUUCAAUUUCUCCUCAAAUUCCCCCUCGUCCAUAGCAGAGCAGGACGGCUGCCAAGGGCAGAGCAGCAGCUGAUCAGUAAACAGGACACCAAUUGGGGACACUAAAUCUUCUAAACCCUUCCCCGACAAAGGCAAAUGCCAGCGCGACCGCUCCCAUCUCACGCAAAAACGAUGGGGUUCCUCUCGUCGCUCACAAAUAGAGCCUCUGCUUAUAUUAAGUUUUGAAUAAAAAAUGAGCUCCCAUGUCAUUGUGCAACCGACCUUCUCGCGGCCGAGGAGAACAUUUUGUCCACCGGCUGCAGCUGGUACCGCGCUGUUUAUGGCUCUCCAUCCCUCCUGCGCUCCCGGGCUUCUGCGGCGGGGGGAGGCGUGCGGAGCUUUGCAGAAAUCCUCCCCCAUCUUUUUGCCACCUUUUUUUUUUUUUUUUUUUUUUUUUUAAGACAGCAAAGCAUGAAGUCAGAAACUAAACAUUUUGAUUGGGUUUCUGCCACGACUAAAGCAGCGAUAAGGAAUGCAGCUCGGCUGAAUCACGCUGGCUCCCAGCUUUAUUUUAGCGGCUGAAAAGAGAUUUUCCAGAGACCUUUUCAAUUUUGCGAGGACGUUUCUGGGCAAUUAAACGAUUCAUGAACUUUGCCCGGUCUUAAGAUACAAAACUCAUCCAAGGACACGAAACAGAGUCAGGUUUGAUAUGUAGGAGGACUGCAGAAAUCGAGUCUAUCUGAUCCCGAGUAUUAUAAAAACAAGGCCCAGGGAAUAGACUGGUGCUUUCAGUUUACUUAAUUAGUUUAUACACUGAAACUAAGAAUAAAAGGGCUGCGCAGUUGCCUUGGCUUUAGUAGUAACCCUGCAACCAUGACAACAGUAAAGCAUUACGGAAUCACCAUGACAAAGAACGGGAGAGGAGGGCUGCUGCCACAGAAGAGCCAACUUGGGCCCAUCAGAAAUUCAGCGUGCGCGGAAGAACACUUCCCGCGGUCCUUGCUUUACUUUAACGCGCGGGUUUUAGUGAAAAUAAGCAUUUCGGAAAGGGUUUUGGGCCUCUCGCAAGUGUCUGUGUUGUUUCAUUAACUGCUGGUAACAGCAAUAUCUUGCAAAGCCAGGAUGUGAUGCAGUUACUUCUUAAAAAAUAGAUCUGAAUAUUUGCAGGCCGGCGCUGCCCCUGCCUCCCUGCCUGCACCCUGCCUGCGCCUGCCUGGCCCCCGGCCUCCUGCCUGGCCCAGCCUCGCCGCGGCUCUCCGGCGCGCGCGCUGAGGGUUUUGUCUUCGGUCUGGUUAAAAAGGACACCGAAAAAAUUACACAUUUGCUCCUAACCCUUCCCUGCAGCUCACGCCCUCAUAAGAAACAGGCCCUGAGAUGAGUUUGCAACCGUGGGAUUAAAGUUUGGCACAGCUUCGGUGUGCUCCCCCCAUCCCACGCCAGCCCGUUUUCUUCUCUCGUGCCCGCUCCAAGCAGCGCCCCGGCUCGCGGAGCCCCCGGAUGCUCCUCCCGUGCAGAAGACUGUGUGGGGGGAAGGAGAAGGGGUGCUUAUGCUUUUCUGUCUGGCAACCACCAUCUCAGCCUGCCCCCGCCGCUCCUCGCCCUUCGCUGGGACCCUGCCCGGCGCUGCCCCUUCACAGCGGCCCGUCGUUCCUGCCGAUGCUCGUUUAUUAUCUUAGCCUGAACUCAUCUGAUACUUGGCACAGCAAAAGGUUCACCCAGAAAGGGGAAAGAAAGCAAAAGCAGCGCUGCCUGAAAGACAUGUAAUUGGUUCAUCUUCCCAAUAGAAACAGGGCCCCAAGCCUGCGAGCGCAGACGCUUGGGUCAAAGGAGGUGACUAAAAAGUGCCCCAGAGCUUACUAAAAAAGCGAUGGAGAGCGAAGCUUACCCCCGAGAUGGUGCUUCUCAUGGGGCAGGCGGUGGGACCGCCGAGUUCUUUCUAAUUUAGCUGGAGCUGGGCAUGGGAAACCUGUUAAUAGUGUCAGUUCAAACCAGAAUAGAGUGUUCGGGGUUUGCUUUUCCAGCAACCACAUUUUCCCAUUGAGGAACCAUCCAGGCAGGUAAUAUUUGAACAAUUUUGUCUGCUUUUAUAAUAAUAGACGUUAAAAAACAGCAAAGAAUAACGGAAGGAAAGAACACGAAGAAGUCUCCAAGUGCUUAACUCUACAAGAUGUGUGUCCCUUUACUUAUCUUCACUGGUCAGUAAACAGAAAUAUUUUUCUUUGGGCACUGCUAAUUGCCAUCUUUCUCAUACAUCAUAUCUCAGCGAUGAAUAUUCAUCAGAAAAAAAAUAUAUGGAAAUACAUUCCUGGAAUCCUGCUGCAAGAGCAAACGCAAUGCCGCCAGUAAUUUUUAGGUUGGUCGUUACUUCGCACCGGCGAGAGCAAAACCACCGGGAUUGUCUGAACAAGGCGGACGUGUCGGGAGAAGUGCGUCGUCCUCCCGGCCGCCUGCCACCUCCUCCUGUCCCCGCUCCCCCCAGCGUUACGAGAUGGCAUUGGACACAAAAAUCCGGGUUCAUUCUGCCACCAAUAGGCAGGCGCAGCAACGCUGAGCUUCACUGGCUCCUAUUUGUGGUUGGUUGUUUUUUUUUUUUUUAAACCGAUACACACUUUGAUUUAAAAAGGACAACAAAACCAGGUUACCUUCUAAAGUAACCCCCCAAAUGUAAGGUUUAAGGCUGCAAAGCCCCUGUGCACGCCUCUCCCCAAAAGCACUCGCCACAUCUGCCGCUGCCAGCAGCCGACCGGCAGAUCCAGCAGCCUUGGCCGGCCGAGCGCUCACAUGCAAUUAGCAAAUAUUUGAGAAUUAUUUUGCUCUGUUUGAUGUUUUUAACUGACUCCCAAUUUCCAUGACCAUGUUAACAGCCCCUGGCAUCCUUGUUAAACAUCUAACAGCCUCAAACAUCUUCAUAAACCCCCAGCAUCAAAUCAGCGUCUCACCAAAUUUAUUCCUCCCUUCCAGAAAUUCUCCUGCUCGGAGCACUAAUGCACUGAGAAACUGAAGACAGAAAAUAAACCAUUUAAAUAUGCUCUUAAGUCUCACAGAAACUGCACAAAUCAAGAGGGGAUUUGAAACCUUUUCAAUUUCCCCCCCCACCCCAAAUCAGUAGCUACUAAAAUACUUCGCUCCUUCAAGUCCCUGUUGGAGGAAACUAAGCUCCAUCUCUAACAUUUGCAAUUAUUUCCUUUUAUUGCCACAAAAAUAUUUUUUGUCAAAUUAAAAUGUCCAUCUUUCCGAAAAAUGCACAGCUGUUCCACUACAUCAAGCAUUUUUACUUAUUGCUUCAAUAAUAACAAGAGGAAAAAGCAGAAUCCUUCCAUAAACUGAAAUGCUGUUUGUAACAGUCGCUGCCCCGGUUGCUCCCCAGCUCGUACAGCCCCCCCUUUCCUAAGCAAUGCCCAAGCUCCCCCCCUUGCGCGUGGCUUUGGGUUGUGCUGGCAGACCGGACACGUAGGGCUUUGAUGGACAGAAGUAGCCCGAGAGCACGGAAAUAAGUUUAAGAACCUUCAGCCUGUUUCCCAAACUCUCGUUCUCGGUCCAUUGUAGAAAAGUGCACAAAACACGAGGGCACCACUCAGCACAUCCGAGUGGAGACAAGCUACGGUCCAAGUCGCUCUGUCUCCCCUAAAUACUGGGGAUCAUUUUGGUACUCUGCAUUUUAUGAGAAGAUCUCAGCAGCAUCUGACAGCUCAACCUCCGCGUUCUUCUGGAUUCCUCUGUCAGAGCAUAGAAGUUGGCGUCCGACCGUACCUGGACUGGUUAGUUUUGGGGAAGCCUCGGUUCCCCAGCCAUUCAGCCCCCAAAGCCGGGCUGUCGGGGGGGGUUGGAGCCCCCAAAGCUGGGCUGUUGGGGGGGUGGUUGGAGCCAUCAUUUUGUCUCAGCUAAGAGCUAGGAAAGCAUCGCAUUCAGCGUCUUUGUAACUGAGGUUGUACAGCAGCGGGGCUGCCCGUUGGUACGCUCACAAAGGCUUUACUAACUAGCUAUUCCUCUGGCAGUUGUGGAACCCUGAGGGGUAGCUGCUAACUCAAACUGCCUUUCCUGGAGCACUACGCCCUGAUUAACAGAUCACAGAAAAUCCUGAAGCCGAGACCCUACCCAAGGAUAUCCCCAAGGAUAGUCCGAAUAUCUAAAGAUACCCCAUAUCAAUAACCCAGAAAAUCUUCAUUGACAAUUAUCCCAAGACUCCAGUUGCUUUGCACCCACGUCUUGGGGAUGGAAGAAAUCAAGACAACAACCUCUGGGAGUGGUCUACAAUUUAGCUAAAGACAAGUUGGUUUCUAUCUUAGUCUUGUACAACUCCCUCUCAACCUUGUAUCUACGCUGUCAAUAGCUAGAUUGCAAUAAACUGGUUAUUUUUUCCUUAAACGCUUGGUUUAUAUGCAAAGUAAUUUUGGAAUAACCAGCCAACACCAAGGAGUCCCAUUCUUAUGGCCAUGCUCACGGUCAAACUGAACAUGCCAGAUUGCUUUCACAGCACCUAGCACUCAAACCGGAAGGUUUAUUUUUUUUAAAAGAGGUGGUUUUUCAGGAGGUGGCACAGGCCCGUAAGAACUGCAGAGACUCACAGGUAGCAGGGGAGAAUGUUUUUCAGGGCUCAGCGUUAGUUGAUGACAUCCCGAGAGGCCGCGGCGUUGGCGGGGACCCUCCUGGGCUUCCUGUGAACUCCGGCCAAGCAGCAAAGGCAACGGCAGCACUACAAGGGGCGAGCUCCGAGGUGAGGUUUUAAGUGACACCAUCUAGGAACGCCGCAAUAGCUUCAGCACAUAGUUAAUCAUUUUAGGAUGGCAAAUACAUACGAGAUGUUCAGCAGAGACGGUGAGGCUGCCGGCGGCUCCGAGCAGGCAAAUGGAGCUGGAGACAUUACCGAUGCCUUGAAAUAUUCAUGGGUGCAACGAAGAGAGGUGCUCCAGGUGCCCCCAGCUCAGCACUGCUGUUCCAGCCAGCCGCAGGCACAAGACGGACUCAGCUAGUACGUCUCAUCACCUCAGUAAAGAAGUCAAUGUGCACGUCAAAAAAAGGAGCCGAAAGCAAUUCCCCCCCAACAGCCCAAGGAGCAAACCCAACGGGCUCCAUCACGGAAAGGCCAGGGGCUUGCUGGCGCGGGGCUGCCCACCCACGGGUCCCAUCCCCAGUCCCCGCCGGGCGCUGCCCAACAGCCGCGGAGCUCAGGGCAGGUAUAACCUGGAACAGGGAUGUCCGGCCUCUGUGGGAGAAAACGUGUCAGCACCUUGAUGGGAGCAGGGGCUGAGCAUUGCCUUUCAGAGCAGUUAAAGCUCAAGUCUUCGUACUCUUCACUCUUACGUGCUGUGUUAAACCUUGUCAUGGUCAUACUCACCUGCCUGGGCUUUUCAUUAUGGCCAGCAGAAAACAUUUUUGAUUAAAUUCUAAACCGUAACAUUAGCUCGGCAUCGCGUCGAGAGGAGAACAUUUGCUAUUGCUCUGCAAGGAGAGCGAAACUGGAGACAGCAGGUAGGGAGGAAAAGCACCAAAGCCCAGCUCUUCCUCCACAGAGGAUCCUGGUCAGCGGUUCCUACCGGAGGAGCCCAAGGACCCUUAGCACCUCUUAGGGCUUUUUCAAACUGCAAUGCAAGGAGUAAAUACGUGGGCUGUACCCCAAAAUGCAGCAGCCUUUUGCAGAAGAGAUUAUCUAAAGCUAGGCAGACUUGGCAGAGGAGCAACCACCGGUCAGGGUUUGCCACAAUCUCCACUCCUGAUCUUCAAUCCUGAUACUAAUCCUUAUAUUUAAUCUGAACAUUAAUAGAUUAUUUUUAAACUACUUAUGUGGAGAGAGGCCUGUUGGCUUCCUGGGGCCAUGGAGGAGCCCAAGGGUCUGCAGGA